This 119-nucleotide ribosomal RNA is filed under the name Pteropus alecto (black flying fox). The record is from RNAcentral. Lineage: Eukaryota; Metazoa; Chordata; Mammalia; Chiroptera; Pteropodidae.
AUCUAAGGUCAUGCCACUCUGAAUGUGCCCCACCUCGUCCGAUCCUGGAAGCUAAGCAGAGUUGGGCCUGGUUAGUACUUGGAUGAGAGACCACCUAGGAAGACCAGGUGCUGUAGGCA